AGUUUGAUCAUGGCUCAGANCCCUUUUUUNGCGGCGCGCCUAAUACAUGCAAGUCGAACGAGANAUGCCCUUCGGGGACGAGUAAAGUGGCGGACGGGUGAGGAACGCGUGGAUAACAUGCCCUUCAGCGGGGGAUAACUAUUCGAAAGAGUAGCUAAUACCGCAUAUGACUACGAAUCCUGCGGGUAACGUAGUAAAAGGCUUCGGCCACUGAAGGAUUGGUCCGCGUCCGAUUAGCUUGUUGGUGGGGUAAAGGCCUACCAAGGCUACGAUCGGUAGCUGGUCUGAGAGGAUGAUCAGCCACACUGGGACUGAGACACGGCCCAGACUCCUACGGGAGGCAGCAGUAGGGAAUAUUGCACAAUGGAGGAAACUCUGAUGCAGCGACGCCGCGUGAGCGAUGAAGGCCUUCGGGUUGUAAAGCUCUGUGAUAUGGGAAGAUAAUGACGGUACCAUAUCAGAAAGGACCGGCUAACUUCGUGCCAGCAGCCGCGGUAAUACGAGGGGUCCAAGCGUUGUUCGGAAUUACUGGGCGUAAAGCGGGUGUAGGCGGACUAGAUAGUCGGAUGUGAAAGUCCAGGGCUCAACCCUGGAAGUGCAUCCGAUACUACUAGUCUUGAAUACUGGAGAGGGAAGUGGAAUUCCUGGUGUAGCGGUGAAAUGCGUAGAUAUCAGGAGGAACAUCGGUGGCGAAGGCGGCUUCCUGGCCAUGUAUUGACGCUCAGACCCGAAAGCGUGGGUAGCAAACAGGAUUAGAUACCCUGGUAGUCCACGCCGUAAACUAUGGACACUUGGUGUCGGANGUAUUGACCCCUUCGGUGCCGUAGCUAACGCGUUAAGUGUCCCGCCUGGGGAGUACGGUCGCANGAUUAAAACUCAAAGAAAUUGACGGGGGCCCGCACAAGCGGUGGAGCAUGGGGUUUNAUUNCGAUGCAACGCGAAAAUACCUUACCUGGGUUUGAAUNGCAUGGACAGCUCUANAAAAGAGUCUUUCUUCNGAACUGUUGUGAANGUGCUGCAUGGCUG
RNAcentral lists this ribosomal RNA (1026 nucleotides) under uncultured bacterium. RNAcentral describes it as "bacterial SSU rRNA". It matches the Rfam family "Bacterial small subunit ribosomal RNA", at positions 10 to 1051 of the family's 1533-position model. The record is from RNAcentral.